UUAUCCUGAGCUAAAGGGGUUUUGGAACAGAGGUUGUGUAGUAGAGGAAGGAAGGAGUGCAUGGGUCUGGGUGUCAAAGGGAAAGCCACAGUAGUGGUAGGGUGAGAGAAUGCUAGGGCCGUCUAGGUGAUUGAAGGCAUCCUUCAGGGCAAAGGGACCAAAUGUAAGAUGGCGGUUUUGUCACUAAAAUAAAAAAUGGCUGCAGGGGUGAAGCUUCACUAGUGGCGGCACAGUGUUGCAGCUGAAGAAACUGAGACACAUAUAUUACUUUAGAUCAGCCUGUGUCAUGGAAUGUUUGUAUGAAAACUGAGUUCCAGAAUGGAGACACUUCACAAGAGUGAAGCAGGUAUGCAGAUACCAAGUUACAGAUGCUACCAUGAUGCCAACCUGAAUUCCCCAGGCAGAGGACUUCACAGUGUAUCCUGGAACCCCAUCUCUCUGGAACCCUGCCCUACUAGGGAAAGAUAGAAAAAGGCUGGGGGUAUGGAUUGACCUGCCAACAUCCAUGUUCAGCAGAGAAGCAAUUACAGAAGCCAGA
Erinaceus europaeus (western European hedgehog) is the source of this 538-nucleotide long non-coding RNA. RefSeq lists it as uncharacterized. The transcript is spliced from 4 exons. The record is from RefSeq and is a predicted model, not a curated record. NCBI's taxonomy places the organism in Eukaryota, Metazoa, Chordata, Mammalia, Eulipotyphla, Erinaceidae.